AGUGAACGCUGGCGGCGUGCCUAAUACAUGCAAGUCGAACGGAGUUGCGCACGGGUGAGUAAUAUAUAGCUAAUCUGCCCUUUGCUGGUGGACAACAUUUAGAAAUGACUGCUAAUACUCCAUAGCGAGGGAUGAGACUAUAUCGUCUCAGCUAGUCGGUGGGGUAACGGCCUACCGAGGGUAUGAGGCGUAACUGGUUUGCGAGGAUGAUCAGUAACAUUGGAACUGAGACACGGUCGAAACUGCUACGGAAGGGGGCAGUAGGGAAUAUUGCGCAAUGGGCGAAGCCGUGACGGGGCUGCGGGGCGUGGAGGAGGACAAUUGUCGGGGCAUAAACUCCGUUUGAUAAGGAAGCGGUACCUAACGAAGAAGCACCGGCUAACUCCGUGCCAGCAGCCGCGGUAAUUC
RNAcentral lists this ribosomal RNA (408 nucleotides) under uncultured bacterium. RNAcentral describes it as "partial 16S ribosomal RNA". It matches the Rfam family "Bacterial small subunit ribosomal RNA", at positions 29 to 526 of the family's 1533-position model. The record is from RNAcentral.